GCCGGUGGCACGUGCCUGUAGUCCCAGUUACUCGGGAGGCUGAGGUGGGAGGAUUGCUUGAGCCCAGGAGUUCUGGGCUGUAGUGUGUUAUGCCAAUUGGGUGUCUACACUAAGUUCGGCAUCAAUAUGGUGACCUCCCAGGAGCCGGGGACCACCAGGUUGCCUAAGGAGGGAUGAACCAGCCCAGGUCGGAAACGGAGCAGGUCCAAACUCCUGUGCUGAUCAGCAGUGGGAUUGUUCCUGUGAAUAGCCACUGCACUCCAGCCUGGGCAACAGAGCGAGACUCCGUCUCU
Molecule: signal recognition particle RNA, 293 nt
Filed under: Cebus imitator (Panamanian white-faced capuchin)
Lineage: Eukaryota; Metazoa; Chordata; Mammalia; Primates; Cebidae
Description: Metazoan signal recognition particle RNA (ENSCCAG00000004760.1)
Rfam family: Metazoan signal recognition particle RNA
About the family: The signal recognition particle (SRP) is a universally conserved ribonucleoprotein.
Source: RNAcentral